UGCAGUCGAACGAGGUCCAACCUUCGGGUGAAGACCGAGUGGCGAACGGGUGAGUAACACGUGGGGAACCUGCCCUUCUCUCUGGGAUAACUCCGGGAAACCGGAGCUAAUACCGGAUACUCCUUGCGGACCGCAUGGUCUGCUCGGGAAAGCUCCGGCGGAGAAGGAUGGCCCCGCGGCCCAUUAGCUUGUUGGUGGGGUAACGGCCCACCAAGGCGACGAUGGGUAGCCGAGCUGAGAGGCUGAUCGGCCACACUGGGACUGAGACACGGCCCAGACUCCUACGGGAGGCAGCAGUGGGGAAUCUUGCGCAAUGGGCGAAAGCCUGACGCAGCAACGCCGCGUGCGGGAUGAAGGCUCUCGGGUCGUAAACCGCUUUCAGCAGGGAUGAAAAUGACAGUACCUGCAGAAGAAGCCCCGGCUAAAUACGUGCC
RNAcentral lists this ribosomal RNA (434 nucleotides) under uncultured bacterium. RNAcentral's name for it is "bacterial SSU rRNA". It matches the Rfam family "Bacterial small subunit ribosomal RNA", at positions 56 to 509 of the family's 1533-position model. The record is from RNAcentral.